CCCUGCUUCAGCUUGUUGUACAGAACCUCCCUAUGGGCAAGCAGAACAUACCAGGGCUUAGAGCAAAUAACUGCAGGCGACAACAGAACUGUGCUCUGUGACAGGGGACUGUUCUGUCUGAGCUGGGACUUGGACAAGGUGAUCACCACUACUGUGAGAAAAGAUGCCCAGCUCCAGCUUCCCACAGCCCACCUGCCACUGCUUCCUGCAAGCAUGACAAAUCAGAGGUUCAAAGGUGAAGAACACAAGGAACACCACCUGACAGCAAACACUGUCUGAAGAACGUGAGGUGCAGGCACGUUACAACAAACCUGGUGUACUGGCAUUACCUGAAGUCAGACUCCAGCUCAGUGGUGGAGUGGUUGAUCAUGGCACAGAGACAGUCUAUGCUGGAGCUGGACAGAGCACGCCCAAUGCACUUCUUCACUAUAUAAAACACGUCAUCCACCAUGCUGGAGGUGAGCUGGCCCUUCUCGUAGCUGUCCAUGGCAACAGCCUGCAAAGAAAGCUGUCUCAGAGCCCCGAGCCCAGUGAGUGAUGGUGCCCUCUCAGAGCAGUGCUGUGAGACCAAACUUGGUCUGCCCCCUUCACCCUCAGUGGGACUGUACCCUGUGUGGGCUGGCACUCAGUUUUCAGGAGCCCACAGACCUGGAAGAUCUGUCUCAGGAAGAUACCCACGGGUAUAUCUGGAGCCAAAGUUCAGAACCAACCACUUGCUUUUCAAGGCCAAGGGAAACAAAAGGCUUCCCAACAACUGCAGACCUGCCAUGUACUCGCAUCCCUCCCGUGGGAUGCUCAGCAGAGGACUGGGGAGCACACACAGAGAACCAUCAGAGUUUCAGUCAGAGCCCUACCUUGUUGACAGUCUCCCUCAUGAAGUAUUCCUCCAUGGUGAUGUAGUAGCCAAUGAGCUCUUGCAUGGUGCAGCUCAGCAGACAGUUGUUGAGGAGCUUGUCCAGAUAUUUUUGAUGCUCUACAGAAGAGAGAACCAUCAGCAGGGACCAAAUGGCAGAAAGCAGUUCCACCAAGUCCCCUUGCUACCUCUCUGAUGGGCACCCAAUGGACACACACCUGCCAAGCCCAAUCUGGAAGAAAUCACAGGCCUCAACUGUGGAGCUGAAAUUGCUGAGCUGAAUUUUGCAGGUGACAAAAGUGAUUUCCAGAGCUCCACAGAGUACCAAAACCCCGAGCCUGUGUUCCCUGUGGCCUCCACCUUUAGGAUUUGUGCCUGCAGUGACCAAAUGUCCCUCCCUCUCUUGUUUGUUAUACUCUACAGUCAUUCCUAAUGCUGGUUUCUCCACUAGAGGGAACAACCAGUGCUGAAAACAGGUUUGGAGAGGUCAAGCUACACAGUCCUCUUCCACAGCGUGCUCCCAAAGCAUCUUUGCAGAUCCUGUGUCACUCUGCUCUGCCACUGCCUCAGAGAUAUCUCCAUUUCUGGCUCCAAUGAACAGAGAGCCUGCAAGUCCUGGUGUUCAAGGUGUUACCUUGCUUUACCUCCUCUGAGGCCGUGGCAUCUCCCACCUCAAAAUCAGCCACUAUUCGUCUCUUGAUGAACCUCAAGUAGAGCUCACUGCGGGCGUUCAUCAGGGUGACUUCUGUUAAAAUGGGGUCAAGCUCCCUGGAAGGAACAGAGCAAGAACCGAGGUAGCAACACUACAAAAGGAGAGGCACUAAUUUAAUUCAGCCAGGUAGUGUGUUUUCUGUUCUCUCAUUGCAAGACCAAUACUGCCCCUUUCCAUCUGUGCCUUCGAGUGGCAGAGCUCAGCAGAAUAAUUGUGCAAAGAAUGCACACACAAUCAAAAUGUCCCCAAAAAAUCAUUUCCAAAGGGGGAUCUCUACAAUACUGCUUUCUUCUUUGCUCCAAGAGUUAGCGAUGCUCCCCCUCUUUUUCCCUCAUAGCUGUGAGGACAUCCACAUUAAAAUCACAGUGGUAAGGACUGCAAGACUCUAAGCAAUCUGCUACAACUUCAAAAUGAGCCCUGCUUUGAGUGGAAGGUUGGACUAGAGACCUUCCUCAGUCCUUUCCUACCUCAGUUUUGCUACAAUUCUGUGAGCCCCAAGCAGCCAGUGCUAGAAAUGCUUGGUCCCUGCCAUCUCCUCAUGUGUGCUUUUGUGCACAGAUCCAUCUGUUUCUCUGAACAUGAUGAAGAAUCUGAUUAAGCUCAACAGCUCAGGAAAUGUGAGACCAAAAAAGCACGUGACAAUGUGCAGAAUGCUGUGGUCACAUCAGACAUGACCAUGAAAAAAAAGAAAGACUGUCACAUCAGCAGCUUUUUCAUCAGUGUGCACAAAAGAAUUUUACAAAUCCUGCUCAAAGCCUCACAACCCAACUGUGGGACAAGGAAACAUUAUCUUUAUUUUAGAGAUGAAAAAGCAAAAGGUCAGAAAACCUGGGAUGGUUACUCAGAGCAAACAGUAAGUACAUCUUUAUAUUACCACUGAAACAAUUAGUUAUGCAGGCUCACACAGAUCUUGCUUGAGGAACCUAAGUCUUCUUUCAAGGCAUGUUUAUAAGUCAGGCAGUGCCAGAAGGGCUGGAUGCACUUUCAAAUGGGUUGUGUAAAUAUUUAAGAUAAGAAAAGUAGGGAAAUUGAAAGCAUUGUGGUUCAUCAGCAAGAAACCCAUGUUUCAGAGCUGCUGCAGCAGCAGUACAGGUUAAAUAAAACCCAGAUUUAUUCCUGAUUCUGUCACAAAUUAUCUGCCCAGGGAGCUGCUCCAUUUUGUGGGUUUCGGGGACUGUACUGUGGCCAUCAAAGAGCAGUGGGCACAGGCAACUGAAGUCUCAGUCCUUCAUGUGCAGUGAUACUGCCAGCCCUCCAGCAGUGCUGAGGCUUAAAAGUAAUGACUAAGCAAAAUAAAGCCCCAAGUCAGAAGCUGCCUUUAUGAAAGGGCAGAGAAGGGCACCUAACAAUUGGAUUUUAUGUGUUAGUAGCCACAAAACCUCUGGAAGACUGGGAGUUAUCUAAAUGCUAAGUAGUGUUAAUAACAGCUCAAGAGUGAAAGGUUAGAGCGCAUAAAGACUUCUUCUUUGUACCUUGGUUCAAUCUUCUCUGCAGAAGAACUUCUCAUCAUGCUGUUCUGGACUUGCUGGAACUGCAAUCACAAAAAAAAAAAAGAGAGAGUCAUCAGUCUUUGCUGAUGACUUGGAGUUACCAGCUGCUUUUCGUGCUGUAGCCCAAGGAAGUGCUUACUCACUGGGGGUGAUAGGAAUGCUUUGCAGGAAGCACUGCCAGAGAAGGGAACUGCAUCAGUUCACCUCCUCCUCCAAGGAAGAGCUCGUCCUGCCAGGGAGGACAAUGGGAGGGGACUCCAGCAGAGGCACCAAGCUCCCAUGCUGCUUCUUGAACAGCCAGGCCUGGAGGCACCAACAGCUGCUCAGCCUUAAGGGAUCUGAUUUGUUUGUCUGGAGAGCUGGAAGUCUGAAGAAACCUCCAGGGAACACCCAUACGUUUUGAGGAUGCAGAGAACGGGAAGAGUCUGAUUCCUGGAGGAACCCAACAAAUCCUUUGCAAAUCCACUUCGUGCCUGUGCAAGCUGUAGGUAGGAAAACUUGCUUAUUGUGAUGCCCUCUCCUGGCUGGAAUAAAUCCUGCUGGUGUUGUCCCUGUCCCUCGAGUGUGACACGUCUGCAGCUCAAUGGGGAAUGAGACAUUUUGUGAGCCAAAAUUAAAAACAUUUAAAUUCAUGGACGAUCUCACCAGGGACUAUUUUUAAUCCAUCAGGAAAGAGGGAAGGAAGAUUACCUUCGAAGAGGAGUGUCAGGGUGUCUGCAAAGAUGACAGCAGCUCGACGGUCACUCAUGUCUGUCCCCAUCACCAGCUGCAGGUUCUCUUCUGCUUUGCUGGCCACCUGCAUGACAACAGGACCAGUCAGCUGAACACCCAAAGGUAUUCUUCAUCCCCACGAUGGUCCCCUGUCCUUGCCCUAUCCAGCUUUCACUGGCCUUCCCAUUGCAAGAGCUAUUGCUGUUGUUCCUGCUUUGAACAGGGAUCCUUUCCUCUUUUGUGGAAAACUCAAGGGUUGAGAAAAGACAGAAACUUGUUCUUCUCUUUCCAGGCUCAUUGUAUGAGCUUUAAGCAAGUGCAGAGAGCAAGACACAGAAGGAGAAGCCGAACAGCCCCCAGGAUCUGUACUCAGACACCAGAAAGCCCAUCCCAGGACACAAAAUGCAAGGAGAGAGAUGAACUGAGGCCAGUGCUGGUUUCUAAGAUUAACAAGCCCCAGCCAAAACCUCUUUCCACGACAUCCAUUGACAGAGACUGAGUUUUGCUUUCCCCUGGAUGACCAGACAGGCCACAGCAGUUUCACAGACCCUGUUACCUGCUUGCAGAGGUACUCAGAGAACUUGCUCAGCCCCUCUUCGUGUAAGCCCAGCAGGGGAAAGAUCUUGAAGAACCGUUCCACCUGGGGCAGGUCUCCCUGCUUCAUGGCUGUGUCGAACUUCUCUGUGACAAUUGUCUUCAGGCGCUGCUCUGCCUCCUGCAGGAGCUUCAGGUUGGCAUCAAUUAUGCCUCCUGGACAAAAGGACAGAAAAGAAAGGGAAAAGUGACAGCACAAUGUUAGUGCUGUAUCCAGAGAUACUUUUUUCCUCAGGGGAGAGACCAACACUGUGCAGCUCUAGGCUGAGAAGGCAGAAAACACACUGGAAUUUCUCUAGGCAAAGAAAGACAGGUAGGUGUGUGAUGUACACACAGCUAAUGUUGUGGUUUUCCAUGGAAGAUGAGAACACAUCCACCAGGACAUUCCUUCUAAGGAUCUGGUAAAUUACUCCUUGAUUUCCAUUUGCUCUGCUUGGUAGCUCACUGUAACACUGCAACAGUUCUCCCUGACAGGGCCUUCUCCCUCACUUCUUUUGACCUGAACAUUUUGUCCUUUGCUUAGUUAGCACCUGAAAUACUAUUAAAGCUGUGUGCCAGGAACUCUUCUUUCAAUUGAUGUUAAUUCCAACUUAACAACACUUCGCCUCAAAGUCAGUCUAUAACAUACAAAGAACUUUGGCCAGAACUAGAUCUUCUGCUUUGUCUAUUGGGCUAUCUGCCAUGGGAAAUCAUGCACUCUCUAGUUAUGUGCUACUGGAAGGGUGAGUUAUCAGCUUCUCCUCAUGAGCAGAGCUCACCUUCCUUGCCCUGACGACUGAGCUCAAUGACUGACUUGUCCAGAGACAGAUAGCGAUGGAUAUGAGCUGCUGCUUGUUCAUAGUCUUCAUUCCUCAGGGCUGUUUGAACUCCAUCCAUGCAGAACUUCAGGUCAAGGAUGUCAUCAGCUCUCUGAAUGGCCUGAUAGAGGCGGUUCUGCAAGAAAGGCACCCAGUAAAGCUUCCUGCUGCGGGACGGACCAGGGAGAGGGAAGUGUGAGGAGAAGACUGUGGGGGGGGAAAAAAGGAAGAGACUGAAGCAAUACUUCUCUACACAAUAAACAACUACGUAAGCAGAAACCCCACACUACUUAAAAAGUCAUAAAACCAACGGCUCUGCAAGAGGAACAGCAUUUGUCAAAACUGAGGCUGAGCUCAGCUCUGCUACAACAAACAGGCACAGACCAGAGAGACAACCACAGGUUGUCUGGUUUGAUUUGUGCAGCAGUGCUGAGUGCUGGGAUCGACACCUCUCAGCCUGCCUCUGGACAAGGAAGAGAACAGCCCAGAUUCCUGACCAGGUUGGGUGACAGUGACCAUCUCCACUGUCCUCAGUGCUUGACAAGGGUGUCAGUGAAGGCUGCCCCCACCUUAUCCAGGAUAUUGUACCAGGAGCUGCAUGGACAGAAGGGGAUGCUGGGGCAGCAUCCCUGGAAGUGUUCCAGGCCAGGUUGGAUGGGGCUCUAAGCAACCUGGUCUAGUGAAAGGUGUCGCUGCCCAUGGCAGGGGUGGUUGGAACAUGAUGGGCUUUAAGGUCCCUUCCAACCCAAACCAUUCUGGGAUUCUAUGAUAUUUACUCUUAUACUGUAGAAUAUCCAGGAGCCCGGAAAGAUCCUGCUAAAUAAAGAACAAAGCAGUUUCCUGCCCAGUAGAGAAAAGAGCACAUCUCUGUUGUGCUGUGAGCACACAGAACAUGGUUUGGUGGUGCUCAGUCCCAAACCCCCUCCACCCAGUUACCUUGGCAAGGUCGAGCUGUCGGACUUUGCUGCUGACAUUCUCAGCCAGGUUACAGGUGAAGGUGAUCAUUCCUGCCAACUGCUGGGCAUCCCCCUCGAUCAGCUGCAGAUUAGGGCUGGGAACACAAGGGAACUGAACAUGAGGUGCAGGCACUGAGCAGUCGGACGGUGUGCGACAGCGGGACGGUUAUUCCUGCAGACACCACUGCUCCUGGCACAACACUCCCUCCCAUUCCACGCCCUUCCCCCAGGGGCAAUGCAGCAGAAUGGGACAGACUGAUUGCUCUGGAAGGGGCUGCACAGACUGACUGUGUCUUGCUAUCGGACAGGGCAUGGAUGAGCCACUGGGGCUUUAUGGCAGUCUCCACUUCUGAAGGGAAAGAUGAAGGCUGUAAAAUUGUGCUCUGAGUUUUUACCAGGCACGAGGCCACUGAGGAUGACUUUCCACAUGGAUGUCUUUCCAGACUGCCUGCACAAGCUCACCACGAAGAGGCAGUAAUACUUCAUCACCUGACACAAGACAUCUGAUCCAAGCAUUGGUGCUGAAAACUGGCAACCUCUGGGGUGAGACCUUCAAAACCCACCCAGCCUACACCAAAACAGGUCAGUCUGUGUGACAGCACAGCAGUCCCCUCUGUCAGUGCUGCUGAGAAGACUGGGGCCCUGGGGAUGAGGAUUCAACUGCUGUUCCCUGCCGCAAACUGAUGUAAAGCCUGAUGUUUCCUGAGAAUGUUCCUCUACAACGCUGAAAGGAAUGUUCAGGUCGUGCAGUGAGGAGAAGGAAGGGGAGAGAGUGGGGAGCACUAACCCCAUGCGCUGAAGAGCAACCAUCUUGUUCCCUAUAGUGCUUUGCUGUUCCAGAAGGGCAUCCAGCUCUUCCUGCACAACUUUCUGGAAAAAAAAGGACAAAGAAAUCCUUGUGUGGCUUCCGCUCUGCCCAGGCCAGCAAUUUAUCACAGACCCUAUGUCCAAGUCAAGGACACGGAGCUAGAAAGGCAUUAGUGCUUCCCAGAACUCAAGUGACAAAUAAAUCCUUCCUGAUCUCUCAUUUUAAA
Molecule: long non-coding RNA, 7147 nt
Organism: Pseudopipra pipra
Lineage: Eukaryota; Metazoa; Chordata; Aves; Passeriformes; Pipridae
Exons: 3
Source: RefSeq, a predicted model, not a curated record